Molecule: non-coding RNA, 72 nt
Organism: Gymnothorax javanicus (giant moray)
Lineage: Eukaryota; Metazoa; Chordata; Actinopteri; Anguilliformes; Muraenidae
Source: the annotation of a GenBank genome assembly
GGCAUGGCGGCACAGUGGUUAGUGCUGCUGCCCCACAAUAUGUAGGUUCUAGGUUCAAGCCCAGGCCAGCCA